Molecule: ribosomal RNA, 1414 nt
Filed under: Staphylococcus haemolyticus
Lineage: Bacteria; Bacillati; Bacillota; Bacilli; Caryophanales; Staphylococcaceae
Description: bacterial SSU rRNA
Rfam family: Bacterial small subunit ribosomal RNA
Source: RNAcentral
UGCAGUCGAGCGAACAGAUAAGGAGCUUGCUCCUUUGACGUUAGCGGCGGACGGGUGAGUAACACGUGGGUAACCUACCUAUAAGACUGGGAUAACUUCGGGAAACCGGAGCUAAUACCGGAUAAUAUUUCGAACCGCAUGGUUCGAUAGUGAAAGAUGGUUUUGCUAUCACUUAUAGAUGGACCCGCGCCGUAUUAGCUAGUUGGUAAGGUAACGGCUUACCAAGGCGACGAUACGUAGCCGACCUGAGAGGGUGAUCGGCCACACUGGAACUGAGACACGGUCCAGACUCCUACGGGAGGCAGCAGUAGGGAAUCUUCCGCAAUGGGCGAAAGCCUGACGGAGCAACGCCGCGUGAGUGAUGAAGGUCUUCGGAUCGUAAAACUCUGUUAUUAGGGAAGAACAUACGUGUAAGUAACUGUGCACGUCUUGACGGUACCUAAUCAGAAAGCCACGGCUAACUACGUGCCAGCAGCCGCGGUAAUACGUAGGUGGCAAGCGUUAUCCGGAAUUAUUGGGCGUAAAGCGCGCGUAGGCGGUUUUUUAAGUCUGAUGUGAAAGCCCACGGCUCAACCGUGGAGGGUCAUUGGAAACUGGAAAACUUGAGUGCAGAAGAGGAAAGUGGAAUUCCAUGUGUAGCGGUGAAAUGCGCAGAGAUAUGGAGGAACACCAGUGGCGAAGGCGACUUUCUGGUCUGUAACUGACGCUGAUGUGCGAAAGCGUGGGGAUCAAACAGGAUUAGAUACCCUGGUAGUCCACGCCGUAAACGAUGAGUGCUAAGUGUUAGGGGGUUUCCGCCCCUUAGUGCUGCAGCUAACGCAUUAAGCACUCCGCCUGGGGAGUACGACCGCAAGGUUGAAACUCAAAGGAAUUGACGGGGACCCGCACAAGCGGUGGAGCAUGUGGUUUAAUUCGAAGCAACGCGAAGAACCUUACCAAAUCUUGACAUCCUUUGACAACUCUAGAGAUAGAGCUUUCCCCUUCGGGGGACAAAGUGACAGGUGGUGCAUGGUUGUCGUCAGCUCGUGUCGUGAGAUGUUGGGUUAAGUCCCGCAACGAGCGCAACCCUUAAGCUUAGUUGCCAUCAUUAAGUUGGGCACUCUAAGUUGACUGCCGGUGACAAACCGGAGGAAGGUGGGGAUGACGUCAAAUCAUCAUGCCCCUUAUGAUUUGGGCUACACACGUGCUACAAUGGACAAUACAAAGGGCAGCGAAACCGCGAGGUCAAGCAAAUCCCAUAAAGUUGUUCUCAGUUCGGAUUGUAGUCUGCAACUCGACUACAUGAAGCUGGAAUCGCUAGUAAUCGUAGAUCAGCAUGCUACGGUGAAUACGUUCCCGGGUCUUGUACACACCGCCCGUCACACCACGAGAGUUUGUAACACCCGAAGCCGGUGGAGUAACCAUUGGAGCUAGC